CAACCUCAACUCAUAUGGGACUACCCCCUGAAUUUAAGCAUAUUAAUUAGGGGAGGAAAAGAAACUAACAAGGAUUUUCUUAGUAGCGGCGAGCGAAAAGAAAACAGUUCAGCACUAAGUCACUUUGUCUAUAUGGCAAAUGUGAGAUGCAGUGUAUGGAGCGUCAAUAUUCUAGUAUGAGAAAUUAAUGAUUUAAGUCCUUCUUAAAUGAGGCCAUUUACCCAUAGAGGGUGCCAGGCCCGUAUAACGUUAAUGAUUGCUAGAU
This 265-nucleotide non-coding RNA is filed under the name Drosophila sechellia. RNAcentral's name for it is "Eukaryotic large subunit ribosomal RNA". It matches the Rfam family "Eukaryotic large subunit ribosomal RNA", at positions 1 to 243 of the family's 3401-position model. The record is from Rfam by way of RNAcentral. Lineage: Eukaryota; Metazoa; Arthropoda; Insecta; Diptera; Drosophilidae.